GUGACAUGGGCAUAAUUUUUUUUUGAAGAUGUUAAGUCGUGGCCACGACUUACUAAUGCGUGGCCACAACUUACUAAAGCGUGGCCACGAGAUACAUAAGUUGUGGCCACGACUUACUAAAGCGUGGCCACAAGAUACAUAAGUUGUGGCCACAACUUACUAAGGCGUGGCCACGCCUUAGUAAGUCGUGGCCACGCAUUAGUAAGUUGUGGCCACGAGUUAGAUAAGUUGUGGCCACAAGUUAUUUGUGAGGGAGCUCCUUUAUGGUGGUGUAGCAUACAUUCAAGGAAUAUAGACAUAGACUUGAUUUAAUUUUAUUUCAACCUUGGAAUGAACUAUAUUGACAUACUUUGCUUAUUACACAGAGUGGUAAUAAGCAAACCUCUCAUCUUACAGGCAUUGACCGUGUAACACGCAUUUCACUGACUUCACCUGCUCACGCCUAACAGAGCUCUAAACUCCACCUUCUGCGGAGCUGUUUAACACAGCUUGUGGCCAUCAAUAAUUAUUCCUGCUGCAGUUCAUGUUAACAGAGCAGCAGGAAGAGCGACCAGUUAUAAAUAAUUUUGGUCUUAACCAGUGGAGACAGUAAGCCGGUACCGUCCGCUACCGAACACACAAGAGGGAAGUAGAGCGGCUGCCAGAUAAAUCCUUCAUUCAGAACCAGUCAUGGCUGCACGCUGGAUCAGAAAACAGUUCUGCUAACCAGAUAAAGUCUAAAAAGCCUCUUAUUCUGUGUCAGGGUGCUGCAGGCGUACAUGGGCUGGGCGCAUGCCUUUUUUCCCCUCUCCCUUCUCCGCAGGUGGAGGCUGACAAGCAGGGAGGCGCCUCUCGCAGGUGAUCUGCGUUCAGUCAUCAGCAGGGACGGUUCUUAAACAGGCUGCUGUCAGCACCUCAUAGCCAAAGUGUCAGCCUUAAGUGGUGGAACCUGCCUCGGAUCCCGCUCAUGAGAACCCUUUUCCUCGGCUGAGCCGGCCAGCUCUCGGCCCGCUCAGCUGCUUAGGAAGAAAACCUCAGAAAGUCCCGAUCAUCCUCGCAAGUCUCGGCGUCUACAGAGCGCCGAUCAGCUGACAGCCUCCCUGCCGCCGCCCCCGCUGCACGAGUGACCGGACCCUGCCCCGCCCCCUCGGACGCUGCCAUCUGUCAGCUACCGCACCCUCUAUGAUCACCAGAAUCCACCUAGAACCGACGAUCCGCUUGGCAGCCUCCGCCCCUGGUCCAGGCACCAGCAGCUUUUCAGUCUUUGGUGCCCCCGCAGCAGCCGAUCACUCCCCCGGUGAAUCAAUUAUAAUACCGCGAUUACCACCUCCCGCUGUUACCAGACGUCCGGAGGACUCACAACAGGUCUUGAGCUUUAUAUUUAAUAAAACUCUUAAAAACUCGGA
Long non-coding RNA from Fundulus heteroclitus (mummichog), 1385 nucleotides. RefSeq lists it as uncharacterized. The transcript has 2 exons. The record is from RefSeq and is a predicted model, not a curated record. NCBI's taxonomy places the organism in Eukaryota, Metazoa, Chordata, Actinopteri, Cyprinodontiformes, Fundulidae.